GAUUGGUUACUCUUUCAGUAUUUAUCUAGGAGGUUUCUCAUAAAGAGAAGCCCAC
RNAcentral lists this small nuclear RNA (55 nucleotides) under Salarias fasciatus (jewelled blenny). RNAcentral describes it as "U7 small nuclear RNA (ENSSFAG00005007362.1)". It matches the Rfam family "U7 small nuclear RNA". Rfam says of the family: Animal histone pre-mRNAs are spliced by a different mechanism than nuclear pre-mRNAs and self-splicing introns. This processing involves the U7 snRNP, which contains only one RNA species: U7. The 5' end of U7 RNA is thought to base-pair to a conserved spacer element downstream of the cleavage site in histone pre-mRNA. The record is from Rfam by way of RNAcentral. Lineage: Eukaryota; Metazoa; Chordata; Actinopteri; Blenniiformes; Blenniidae.